RNAcentral lists this ribosomal RNA (460 nucleotides) under uncultured bacterium. Its description in RNAcentral is "partial 16S ribosomal RNA". It matches the Rfam family "Bacterial small subunit ribosomal RNA", at positions 338 to 795 of the family's 1533-position model. The record is from RNAcentral.
CCUACGGGAGGCUGCAGUGAGGAAUAUUGGUCAAUGGCCGUAAGGCUGAACCAGCCAAGUCGCGUGAAGGAAGAAGGAUCUAUGGUUUGUAAACUUCUUUUAUAGGGGAAUAAAGGUAUCCACGUGUGUAUAUUUGCCUGUACCUUAUGAAUAAGCAUCGGCUACCUCCGUGCCAGCAGCCGCGGUAAUACGGAGGAUGCUAGCGUUAUCCGGAUUUAUUGGGUUUAAAGGGUGCGUAGGUUGUUUUUUAAGUCAGAGGGGAAAGUUUGGGGCUCAACCAUAAAAUUGCCGUUGAAACUGGAAGACUUGAGUGUGGUUGAGGUAGGCGGAAUGCGUGGUGUAGCGGUGAAAUGCAUAGAUAUCACGCAGAACUCCGAUUGCGAAGGCAGCUUACUAAGCCAUAACUGACACUGAAGCACGAAAGCGUGGGGAUCAAACAGGAUUAGAUACCCCAGUAGUC